RNAcentral lists this long non-coding RNA (384 nucleotides) under Mytilus galloprovincialis (Mediterranean mussel). Lineage: Eukaryota; Metazoa; Mollusca; Bivalvia; Mytilida; Mytilidae. The record is from RNAcentral.
AAAGUGAUAGCAUGGAUGAUACUUAUUAAUUUAUUUAUUCUUUUUUAAUUCCAAUAUAUCUUUAAAAUUAAAAGGGAAAAUCUAACAAUAAAUUCUUUUUAAGCAGCUUUGUCUCCAUAGCGGAGUUUUCGUCAAUAACAACGAAUCAUUAGACAUCAAUUGUUUUCAUGCAUUGCAAUCAUUUUUUCCUUAAAAUAAAUUUAGAUAUCUUAUUAUUUUCUACAUAAGAAAAUGCCUGUACCAAGUCAGGAACAUGACAGUUGUUAUUCAUUCGUUUGAUGUGUUUGAACUUUUGAUUUUGUCAUUUGAUUAGGGACUUUCCUUUUCGAAUUUUAUUCAGAGUACAGUAUUAUUGUGAUUUUCCUUUUUAAUAGAUAGUGACAG